This 561-nucleotide ribosomal RNA is filed under the name uncultured archaeon. RNAcentral's name for it is "bacterial SSU rRNA". It matches the Rfam family "Archaeal small subunit ribosomal RNA", at positions 92 to 656 of the family's 1478-position model. The record is from RNAcentral.
AGUAACACGUACUUAACAUGCCCAGAGGACGUGGAUAACCUCGGGAAACUGAGGAUAAACCGCGAUAGGCCAAGAUUUCUGGAAUGGAUCAUGGCUGAAAUCUAUACGGCCUUUGGAUUGGACUGCGGCCGAUCAGGCUGUUGGUGAGGUAAUGGCCCACCAAACCUAUAACCGGUACGGGCUUUGAGAGAAGGAGCCCGGAGAUGGGCACUGAGACAAGGGCCCAGGCCCUAUGGGGCGCAGCAGGCGCGAAACCUCUGCAAUAGGCGAAAGCUUGACAGGGUUACUCUGAGUGAUGUCCGUUAAGGGCAUCUUUUGGCACCUCUAAAAAUGGUGCAGAAUAAGGGGUGGGCAAGUCUGGUGUCAGCCGCCGCGGUAAUACCAGCACCCCGAGUGGUCGGGACGAUUAUUGGGCCUAAAGCAUCCGUAGCUUGUUCUGCAAGUCUUCCAUUAAAUCCACCUGCUCAACAGAUGGGCUGCGGAGGAUACUACAGGGCUAGGAGGCGGGAGAGGCAAGCGGUACUCAGUGGGUAGGGGUAAAAUCCACUGAUCCACUGAAGA